Molecule: ribosomal RNA, 520 nt
Filed under: uncultured Entrophospora
Lineage: Eukaryota; Fungi; Glomeromycota; Glomeromycetes; Entrophosporales; Entrophosporaceae
Description: SSU rRNA
Rfam family: Eukaryotic small subunit ribosomal RNA
Source: RNAcentral
AGCAGCCGCGGUAAUUCCAGCUCCAAUAGCGUAUAUUAAAGUUGUUGCAGUUAAAAAGCUCGUAGUUGAAUUUCGGGAUUGACACAUCGGUCGUGCCCUAAGGGGUAUGAACUGGUGUAGUCAAUUUCUCACCUUCUGGAGAACCGCGAUGCCCUUAAUUGGGUGUCACGGGGAACCAGGACCUUUACUUUGAAAAAAUUAGAGUGUUUAAAGCAGGCAUUUUGCUUGAAUACAUUAGCAUGGAAUAAUAAAAUAGGACGGCAUGAUUCUAUUUUGUUGGUUUCUAGGAUCACCGUAAUGAUUAAUAGGGAUAGUUGGGGGCAUUAGUAUUCAAUUGUCAGAGGUGAAAUUCUUGGAUUUAUUGAAGACUAACUACUGCGAAAGCAUUUGCCAAGGAUGUUUUCAUUAAUCAAGAACGAAAGUUAGGGGAUCGAAGACGAUCAGAUACCGUCGUAGUCUUAACCAUAAACUAUGCCGACUAGGGAUCGGAUGAUGUUAAUUUUUAAUGACUCAUUCGGCG